RNAcentral lists this ribosomal RNA (106 nucleotides) under Lepisosteus oculatus (spotted gar). Lineage: Eukaryota; Metazoa; Chordata; Actinopteri; Semionotiformes; Lepisosteidae. The record is from RNAcentral.
GCUAGCAGCCAUAUCACCCUGCACAACCCACUGAAGCUCAGCAGGUGUGAGCCUGGUCAGUACCUGGAUGGGAGACCUCCAUAGAAAGCUAAGGCUGCUGCUGGAA